RNAcentral lists this ribosomal RNA (500 nucleotides) under uncultured bacterium. Its description in RNAcentral is "partial 16S ribosomal RNA". It matches the Rfam family "Bacterial small subunit ribosomal RNA", at positions 30 to 523 of the family's 1533-position model. The record is from RNAcentral.
AUUGAACGCUGGCGGAAUGCUUUACACAUGCAAGUCGAACGGCAGCACGGACUUCGGUCUGGUGGCGAGUGGCGAACGGGUGAGUAAUGUAUCGGAACGUGCCCAGUCGUGGGGGAUAACGUAGUGAAAAUUACGCUAAUACCGCAUACGAUCUAUGGAUGAAAGCGGGGGAUCGCAAGACCUCGCGCGAUUGGAGCGGCCGAUAUCAGAUUAGGUAGUUGGUGGGGUAAAGGCCCACCAAGCCAACGAUCUGUAGCUGGACUGAGAGGACGACCAGCCACACUGGAACUGAGACACGGUCCAGACUCCUACGGGAGGCAAGAGUGGGGAAUUUUGGACAAUGGGCGAAUGCCUGAUCCAGCCAUUCCGCGUGCAGGAUGAAGGCCCUCGGGUUGUAAACUGCUUUUGUACAGAACGAAAAGGUUUCUACUAAUACUAGGAGCUCAUGACGGUACUGUAAGAAUAAGCACCGGCUAACUACGUGCCAGCCGCCGCAGUAA